UCCGAAGGGGGCUAGCGUUGCUCGGAAUCACUGGGCGUAAAGCGCGCGUAGGCGGACUCUUAAGUCGGUGGUGAAAUCCUGGAGCUCAACUCCAGAACUGCCUUCGAUACUGGGAGUCUCGAGUCCGGGAGAGGUGAGUGGAACUGCGAGUGUAGAGGUGAAAUUCGUAGAUAUUCGCAAGAACACCAGUGGCGAAGGCGGCUCACUGGCCCGGUACUGACGCUGAGGUGCGAAAGCGUGGGGAGCAAACAGG
RNAcentral lists this ribosomal RNA (253 nucleotides) under uncultured bacterium. Its description in RNAcentral is "partial 16S ribosomal RNA". It matches the Rfam family "Bacterial small subunit ribosomal RNA", at positions 524 to 776 of the family's 1533-position model. The record is from RNAcentral.